RNAcentral lists this ribosomal RNA (253 nucleotides) under uncultured bacterium. RNAcentral's name for it is "partial 16S ribosomal RNA". It matches the Rfam family "Bacterial small subunit ribosomal RNA", at positions 524 to 776 of the family's 1533-position model. The record is from RNAcentral.
UACGUAGGGGGCAAGCGUUGUCCGGAUUUAUUGGGCGUAAAGAGCGUGUAGGCGGUUUGUCGCGUCUGCUGUGAAAAUCCGGGGCUCAACCCCGGACUUGCAGUGGGUACGGGCAGACUAGAGUGUGGUAGGGGAGACUGGAAUUCCUGGUGUAGCGGUGAAAUGCGCAGAUAUCAGGAGGAACACCGAUGGCGAAGGCAGGUCUCUGGGCCACUACUGACGCUGAGAAGCGAAAGCAUGGGGAGCGAACAGG